Molecule: transfer RNA, 71 nt
Filed under: Loxodonta africana (African savanna elephant)
Lineage: Eukaryota; Metazoa; Chordata; Mammalia; Proboscidea; Elephantidae
Rfam family: tRNA
About the family: Transfer RNA (tRNA) molecules are approximately 80 nucleotides in length.
Source: Rfam by way of RNAcentral
GCAAUGAUGGUUCACUGGUAGAAUUCUCACCUUCCAUGCAGCAGACCUGGGUUCAAUUCCCAGCCACUGCC